This 253-nucleotide ribosomal RNA is filed under the name Holothuria scabra. Its description in RNAcentral is "partial small subunit ribosomal RNA". Lineage: Eukaryota; Metazoa; Echinodermata; Holothuroidea; Aspidochirotida; Holothuriidae. The record is from RNAcentral.
UAGAGCAGUACGGUCAACUAAAACUUAAAGAACUUGGCGGUUUUCUAGAUCUCCUUGGAGGAGCUUGUCAUCGAAUUGAUAACCCACAAGACACCUCACCAACUCAAGACUUAUCAGCUUGUAUACCAUCGUCGUCAGCUCACAUCAAAAGAAAGUAAGCCAAAUGGAAAAUACCCACAACGUCAGAUCAAGGUGCAGCUAAUGAGCUGGGGAUAGAUGAGCUACUUUAUUCACAAAACAGAGGAAGUAACCA